Molecule: ribosomal RNA, 316 nt
Filed under: uncultured Planococcus sp.
Lineage: Bacteria; Bacillati; Bacillota; Bacilli; Caryophanales; Caryophanaceae
Description: bacterial SSU rRNA
Rfam family: Bacterial small subunit ribosomal RNA
Source: RNAcentral
GACGAACGCUGGCGGCGUGCCUAAUACAUGCAAGUCGAGCGGAGAUGUUGGAGCUUGCUCCAACAUCUUAGCGGCGGACGGGUGAGUAACGCGUGGGCAACCUGCCCUGCAGAUCGGGAUAACUCCGGGAAACCGGUGCUAAUACCGAAUAGUUUGCGGCCUCUCAUGAGGCCACACGGAAAGACGGUUUCGGCUGUCACUGCAGGAUGGGCCCGCGGCGCAUUAGCUAGUUGGUGAGGUAACGGCUCACCAAGGCCACGAUGCGUAGCCGACCUGAGAGGGUGAUCGGCCACACUGGGACUGAGACACGGCCCAG